AGGAGCUGAAGGGACCAGCUUGGCCGUCAGUUGCAAGGGUGUGAGGCAGAAGCAACACAAAAGAUCUUGAUAUGAAGCAAUUAUUUUUGGUCUUAAACUGCUGGGACUCCAGAUGACCCAGACCACGGUCAGCAGGCAGAAGCCAGAUGCUAUUGUCAACAGAAUUGCCUUCAAGAUUCCUUUUCUGAUUGUUCAUUGCUGAGAUGACAUCUCACUAUAUUGCCCAGGCUGGUCUUGAACUUCUAGCCUCAAGCAAUCCUCCCACCUCAGCCUCUGAACGUACUGGAAUUACAGAUGGAGCAACUGAGAUUCUUCCCCAACUAGACUAUAAGUUCUCUGAGGGAUAAGGAACAUGUCUGGUUUCCUCAUCUCUCUGUCACAGCACCCUGUGAAUGCCUAGAAGACAGUAAGAAUCAACUGAAUGUUUGUAGAAAGAAUAACGAUACUUACCUAUAGUCUAAAGGUUUAGUGAUGAAAUGAAGUCCACUAACUUCUCUCUGCUUACUUCCACCCUCAAUAACAUAUUUCCUCAAACCCCACAGAGGAAAGACAAUUCAUUUUUUACUAUUGUUUAAUAGAGCCAUGUUUGUAUGUAGCUUCCUGUUCCGCUUAGCCCAAGACAUUAAGUGGGUCAGGAGUAAACUCUGCCCUCUGUUUUUUUCCAUUCCUUUGUCACCUGCUCAAGUGGCAGCCCAGAGCCGCUUGGCGGCUUCCCUGAAGAUGAGCAGAGUGCAGUAGAUUAGGCAUGGCCUUUCUAUCUAUUUCUACUAUGGAGAAGCUGAAAAAGCUAUAUGGCUGGAAAAAAAUCACCUUGGUACUAAUUUGCUAUUUUACAAUAUUUGAAAAUAAAGACCUGUGGUCUUCCUAUGUAUUUCUUUUUAAACAAUGAGGGGUAUGGAACAUCUAUGAAUAAACAUCAAGGUCUUCAAGUG
Molecule: long non-coding RNA, 932 nt
Organism: Homo sapiens (human)
Lineage: Eukaryota; Metazoa; Chordata; Mammalia; Primates; Hominidae
Source: Ensembl